Molecule: ribosomal RNA, 253 nt
Filed under: uncultured bacterium
Lineage: Bacteria
Description: partial 16S ribosomal RNA
Rfam family: Bacterial small subunit ribosomal RNA
Source: RNAcentral
UACAGAGGGUGCGAGCGUUAAUCGGAAUUACUGGGCGUAAAGCGUGCGUAGACGGUAGCGUAAGUCAGAUGUGAAAGCCCCGGGCUCAACCUGGGAACUGCAUUUGAGACUGCUCUGCUCAGGUGCGGAAGAGGGAAGCGGAAUUUCCGGUGGAGCGGUGUAAUGCGUAGAUAUCGGAAGGAACGCCGGUGGCGAAAGCGGCGUGCUGGACACCUACUGACGCUGAGGCGCGAAAGCCAGGGGAGCGAACGGG